RNAcentral lists this long non-coding RNA (494 nucleotides) under Pan troglodytes (chimpanzee). RNAcentral's name for it is "long non-coding RNA NONPTRT014763". Lineage: Eukaryota; Metazoa; Chordata; Mammalia; Primates; Hominidae. The record is from RNAcentral.
GCUCCCUGCACAGCAUCCUACCAUUCCAAAUUCUUGGGACUUUGAAUUGAGUUGAGAAUUACUACAAGAGGAGGUUAGGAAACCAGUAUUGGAAAGAGGGAAGGGAGAGGAAACCAAGGCAUGCCAGGAUCAAAGAUAUCUAUAAAGCAGCUUUAUAAAUGACCAAGAAAAUGGGUUUCUAAAAAACGCAAAAUGGUGAGGCCUUGGGGCUGCAACGUGGCAUCUGUGAAGAGGACGACGCCACGCCCUGCUGGGAAGGGCUGACCUGCAUGCCAGGUGCUUGGCUUGGAGCCACCACACGCAACAGCAUGAAACUUUCUCUGGAGUGCCAAGUCAUUACCUGGAAACACUGGGGACAGAGUGAAGGUCAUGCCUGUUCCAGAGGAUGAAGAAACUACCUCAAAUCUGAGCUUCAAAUAAGUAGAGUACCACGAUGUGAAAUCUGUCAGAUACGGGAAAAUUAAGAUCAAACUGCAAAUUGCUGAAGAUCUAUG